RNAcentral lists this unclassified non-coding RNA (398 nucleotides) under Hevea brasiliensis (rubber tree). The record is from RNAcentral. Lineage: Eukaryota; Viridiplantae; Streptophyta; Magnoliopsida; Malpighiales; Euphorbiaceae.
UUUACUUGAAAUUGGAUCACAUAUGGCGAUAUAUAAUCCAAAGGAUAAUUCAUUCAGAUAUCUAGAUGUUACUAACUUUGCUCCAUAUAUUGAGGCAGGAAUCUACAUUAAGAGUCUAGUUUGUCCCUUUUCACACAAGGGACAACGCAUGCAAAACCAACGGAAGUUCCUCUAACUUAGAUGACGACAACCGUGUGUCUAAUAACAUGAUACUUGCGUUGGUCGGUGUGAAGGAUCCUUACUCUUUGUGGAGAGGCUCAACAGCUGGUUCAGGAGCGCACCUCCAGCCCUUAUCACUAUGAGUAUGACUAAAAGUUAUUCAACAAAGAGUCAGAAAAGAGUACUUAGAAGACGGUUCGAGUAUUGUUUACAGAUUAAUGAAGUGUAUCUCUUUCCAG